UUGAAAGAUUUUUCAGUGUACCGAGAACACGGCUUGGUUACCGCUACACUUAAAAACUUUUCCUUUGGGGAAGCCAGCUAAUGGCCUUGAAGGGCAAAUGCCCUCUUCCCUCAACAACCUUCUUUAAGUUUCCUUUGCUUUUGACUCAUUAAUAUUCACCAGAAACACAACAAAGUGUGUGACACUAUCACUCGCAUUAUCCAUAACCAGAACCAAUUAAUUUUCCAUGUUCACAAAAAAAAAAAAAAUGUUAAUCAAAAUUUUUACAAAAUAGAGAAAACCAAGAAGAAGAAGAAGACUUGGAAUUGCACACCCCAAAAAUUCCAUUCCAUUAUUGUAAAAAAAUAAAAUAAAAAAAGGGAAUUCAAAGCUCUUAAAAGCUCUCAACUAAGGGUUGUUCGAGUUGGUUCUAGUUGGUGUUUGCAUUAACUAAUUUCCACCCACCACUUUUGAUGCUCAUAUAUAUUAACACUCCUUUCAUCUCUCUCACAAUCCAAUCCAAUCCAGUCCAUGCCAAUCCCACCCACCAUGGCCAGUGAGCAAGAUCUCUUGUCCACCGAAAUUGUCAACCGUGGGGUUGAGUCGUCCGGCCCCAAUGCUGGUUCCCUCACGUUCUCCAUGAGAGUGCGCAGGCGGCUGCUGGACCUUUUACAGUCCGUAAACCUAAAGUAUGUGAAGUUGGGGUACCACCACCUCAUCAACCAUGCCAUAUAAUUGGCCACCAUCCCUGUGCUUGUGCUGGUUUUUAGUGCUGAGGUGGGAAGUUUGAGUAGGGAGGAGCUGUGGAAGAAGCUUUGGGAUGAUGCACGUUAUGACCUAGCAACUGUGCUAGGAUUCUUUGGUGUUUUUGUGUUCACUUUGUCUGUUUACUUCAUGUCACGCCCUCGAUCCAUCUACCUCGUUGAUUUCGGCCUAAUGACGAUCUUAAGGUUCGAUAUGUGCCAAGCUGCGCUGAGGGAUGUCGAUCGGACCAUUGUGACGAUGCUGAGCCAGAAACUUGACGAGGUCAAGCUGCCUAGUGAUGAUGUGAUUCAUAAGGUUUCUCAACUCAAGCUUAAUAAUUGAUCAUUGUAAUGCAGCUGUGUAAUUCAAUCAACCGAUGUCCGUGAUCAUAACGUUGGUUGAGAGUUCAAUUUACAAAAAAGGCUCACGUACGGCUCACAGAUCUGUUGGGCUAUAAUUUAACCCUA
Molecule: long non-coding RNA, 1190 nt
Organism: Pyrus x bretschneideri (Chinese white pear)
Lineage: Eukaryota; Viridiplantae; Streptophyta; Magnoliopsida; Rosales; Rosaceae
Exons: 2
Source: RefSeq, a predicted model, not a curated record